RNAcentral lists this ribosomal RNA (522 nucleotides) under uncultured marine bacterium BY-7. RNAcentral's name for it is "bacterial SSU rRNA". It matches the Rfam family "Bacterial small subunit ribosomal RNA", at positions 375 to 896 of the family's 1533-position model. Lineage: Bacteria; Pseudomonadati; Bacteroidota. The record is from RNAcentral.
GAGGAAUUCUGAACCAGCCAUGCCGCGUGAAGGAUGACGGCCCUAUGGGUUGUAAACUUCUUUUAUAGAGGAAGAAACUUGUCUACGUGUAGACAACUGACGGUACUCUACGAAUAAGGAUCGGCUAACUCCGUGCCAGCAGCCGCGGUAAUACGGAGGAUCCAAGCGUUAUCCGGAUUCAUUGGGUUUAAAGGGUCCGUAGGCGGAUUUUUAAGUCAGUGGUGAAAGCCGACAGCUCAACUGUCGAACUGCCAUUGAUACUGGAAAUCUUGAGUACAAAUGAAGUAGGCGGAAUGAGUCAUGUAGCGGUGAAAUGCAUAGAUAUGACUCAGAACACCGAUUGCGAAGGCAGCUUACUAACAUGUAACUGACGCUGAGGGACGAAAGCGUGGGGAGCGAACAGGAUUAGAUACCCUGGUAGUCCACGCCGUAAACGAUCAUCACUCGCUGUUGGCGAUAUACUGUCAGCGGCCAAGCGAAAGUAUUAAGUGAUGCACCUGGGGAGUACGCCGGCAAACGGUG